This 364-nucleotide ribosomal RNA is filed under the name Ophrida scaphoides. Its description in RNAcentral is "partial 16S ribosomal RNA". RNAcentral also lists the same sequence under 1 other name. Lineage: Eukaryota; Metazoa; Arthropoda; Insecta; Coleoptera; Chrysomelidae. The record is from RNAcentral.
UUGAAUGGCCGCGGUAUUUUGACCGUGCUAAGGUAGCAUAAUCAUUAGUUUUUUAAUUGAAAGCUGGAAUGAAGGGUUGGAUGAGAAAAAAACUGUCUCCGUUUAAAUUAUAGAAUUUUAUUUUUAAGUUAAAAAGCUUAAAUAUUUUUAAAAGACGAGAAGACCCUAUAGAGUUUUAUAAUAUUAUUUAUUUUAAUAUUUAGUAUUUAAAUUUAAAAAUAUAUAAAUUAUUUGAUUGGGGUGAUUGAAAAAUUAAAAUAACUUUUUUUAUAUGCAUAUAUAUAUUUAUAGAUACUUGAUCCAUUAAUAAUGAUUAAAAGAAUAAAUUACCUUAGGGAUAACAGCGUAAUUUUAUUGGAGAGUU